RNAcentral lists this ribosomal RNA (452 nucleotides) under Cryptosporidium scrofarum. Its description in RNAcentral is "SSU rRNA". It matches the Rfam family "Eukaryotic small subunit ribosomal RNA", at positions 547 to 1033 of the family's 1831-position model. Lineage: Eukaryota; Apicomplexa; Conoidasida; Eucoccidiorida; Cryptosporidiidae. The record is from RNAcentral.
AUUGGAGGGCAAGUCUGGUGCCAGCAGCCGCGGUAAUUCCAGCUCCAAUAGCGUAUAUUAAAGUUGUUGCAGUUAAAAAGCUCGUAGUUGAUUUUCUGUUAAUUUUUAUGUAUAAUAUUGCGAUAUUUACAUAAUAUUAACAUAAUUCACAUUACUUUUUACAGUAUGUGGAAUUUUACUUUGAGAAAAUUAGAGUGCUUAAAGCAGGCUAUUGCCUUGAAUACUCCAGCAUGGAAUAAUAUUAAGGAUUUUUAUUCUUCUUAUUGGUUCUAGAAUAAAAAUAAUGAUUAAUAGGAACAGUUGGGGGCAUUUGUAUUUAACAGUUAGAGGUGAAAUUCUUAGAUUUGUUAAAGACAAACUACUGCGAAAGCAUUUGCCAAGGAUGUUUUCAUUAAUCAAGAACGAAAGUUAGGGGAUCGAAGACGAUCAGAUACCGUCGUAGUCUUAACCAU